This 66-nucleotide transfer RNA is filed under the name Leptochiton nexus. Its description in RNAcentral is "tRNA-Trp". The record is from RNAcentral. Lineage: Eukaryota; Metazoa; Mollusca; Polyplacophora; Lepidopleurida; Lepidopleuridae.
AGGAUUUUAGGUUAAAAAAACCUUCAGCCUUCAAAGCUGACUAUAAGGUAGUAUUCUUAAGUCCUG